This 104-nucleotide non-coding RNA is filed under the name Cephalotus follicularis. RNAcentral's name for it is "Bacterial large subunit ribosomal RNA". It matches the Rfam family "Bacterial large subunit ribosomal RNA", at positions 2529 to 2632 of the family's 2925-position model. Lineage: Eukaryota; Viridiplantae; Streptophyta; Magnoliopsida; Oxalidales; Cephalotaceae. The record is from Rfam by way of RNAcentral.
AAGUCGACUCAUCACAUCAUGGGGUUGAUGAAGGUCCCAAGGGUUCGAUUGUUCACCGAUUUAAGUGAUACGUGAGUUGAGUUUAAAACGUCUUGAGAUAGUUC